Molecule: long non-coding RNA, 1439 nt
Filed under: Androctonus crassicauda
Lineage: Eukaryota; Metazoa; Arthropoda; Arachnida; Scorpiones; Buthidae
Source: RNAcentral
CUGGCAAAGACUGCAUAAUCUGGGAAACGUCGCUAUCAGAUUCUUAUAAAUUCAAGAUAGAAUUUCUCAGAAAUGAAUAACUUCCUUCUAGUUUUUUUUUUCUGCUUCUUCUAAACAAUUUAAUUUCAUACGUAAUACUUCUUCUAAAUCAUGUAAUAUUUCUGACUGAACAUUUGUUGCCGCUUCUGAUAGAGACUGUUUGCCUUGGAAUUAAUUUUUGUAGCAGUGCUUUGAUGUUUCGUAUCUUUCGAAUUUUUUUCUGGUUUUCUAUUAAGCAUUCUUCGACCAAAGGAAUAUCUACGCCUGAAGAUGUAUUAUUCAUUGCAUAUAUCGGUAUUCUUGUUGCAAAUGAACAAAUCACACACAGUAUCAUCAUCAUAUUGGAUAAGCAUCCAUAGUCAUGCGAUCUAUCAUCCUGAUUAAAGUCUCUUCAAAGUUAUUCUCAAAAAUACUACCAUUUACCAUUUAUCUUUGGCGUUUCUUUUCACCUUUCCCUCGCGGUCCCUUUUCCGCUUUCAAAAUUCAAAUUCUCUCCAAGGUUAUUUUCAACAAAAUUGACUGAUUUAUGUUUUCGGUACGUUGUAUUCCUUCGACGUAAUUUUCACGAACACUCCUAUCCGCCAUAUAUGUCGAUGGAACGAUCCCUGAUUAAAGUAGGCCAUUUAUAAGGUAAGAUGUUUAAAAUGUACUUAUUAACUAAUUUUUUGGUUUUUACAUCGUUUUUAUUAUUUCUAGGAUUGUCAGUUCCUCCAGUUUUUCCCAGGCUGGGAAUUGGGUACAUCCUCUGUCCUAAGUAUAUUAUGACAUCUAAGAAUAGCGAAUCUGCCCGCCAUUCUUUGCUUAGGUAUAUCGUCUCCGAAAUUAGAAGGAAAUUCGUCCGCUAUCUACUUUUUGCCUGCUCGGAGCGUAUGGAAGACGAUUUAGUGACGUGACCUGUUCGCCUCGCCGCGCCGCGUUUCUGCUCGCUCCGACAGCAUCUAAGAUGGCGGCGCUCUCCGGUGUCGGCGUUCUUCCUCCGUUAAGUACUUUUCCUCGUAUUUACUAAUCGGUUCCGCUUUCGCGAUUCCUUUUCGCGUUAAUUCAUACUAGGUCACGUGACCAAAAAUAAUUCGCACAAAAAACCCGGGUUCCGUGAGAUCGAAAUUCAUGCCUUUAUUUUAAGCAGACCGCCUAAAAUGGCUGACGAUUGCCAACUAUCACCAUAACCUCGCUACCACUGCCGCCUAUACACUUCGAUCCAUUAAGUGUGACGUAGCUGAAAUGGCCAUGUCUUUCGAAGGUUACGAUUGUAGCCAGUUCCAAAGGAACAAACACCGAUGAUCAACAUUGUUUCGCUUCGUGACCAUCAUGAAGUAACCAUGUAUUGUGGGCAACUCCGCCAAAACCAAUACAUGUUCUGAGCGUUUUGAAACCACCACAGAUCGUUCUGAAACAGAUCA